UUUUCAGCCUAGUGACCGGGGGCACCGGCGUUUGGAGAGUCAGCACGGAGGCACCAUGAAGGCAAAUCGCUGCAGGAGAGCUCCGUGAGACAGAAGCCGGCCUCUCCCCGGGGGACGUCCUGGCGAGAGCAGCAGCCUGGACACGGGGACAGGCCGAUGCACAAGAGCCGGCCCCUCUGUGAGCUUGGCAAAACUCUCCAGCAGGUGCCCGGUAAGUGCCGUGUGGACACGCGGAUGCAGGGUCUCAGAGGAGGCCUCUCCCUGGGAAGGCCGGGACACCGGGCCCAGCAGGCAGGCCUGGCACUGGGCAGUGAUAGCUGUCCAGACGGGGGCCUCUGCCUCCCAGCUGCCCUCCUGGGGUGGGGCCCAUCGCACCCCACAGCAGCACAGAACGGACCCCGAGUGCCACAGCCGAGUCCCGUGCUGGGGCGGGUUCCCACGUGCCCCCCCCAGCAGAAAUGAGGGUGCACGUCAUCCAGUGGCUGAAGCUCUGUGGCUUCGGGCGACGCUGGCGCCGUGGGGAGCCUUUGGGGAAGGAGGGUGCCCAGGGCUCUGCCUGCCGAGCUCUGGUUCGCUGUGUUUUCCUAGGCUUUGCCCCUUCCCCAGGGUCCACAGCCAUCAAGAGCCCCGCCCAGAGCAGCUGGGAGCAGGAAGGACGGAGGAAGUGGGAGGAAGGGGUUCACGGGGGCCGCCCCCGCCUGCCCAUCACGCGUCGGGGCGGGAGCUGCCACGGGAGCCUCACGCCCAGCCUCCUGCUUGCACACUGGAGACACGGGGCUGGGCCUUCACCCUCUCCUGGUCCCUGGGACCCUCCUGUUUAACACAGGGGGGGCAAGAGGCAGCUGGCCCACCCCGUCCCUGACCCGGGGUUACAAGGGUAACAGCAUUUGAAGCUCUCUUCUUCCUCAGGCGGGCGCUGGCCGGAGCAGGGCUCGCUCAGCCGGCAGGUGCCGCUGGACGGGCAGGUGAGUGGGCACAGCCUGUGUGUGCAGCCACGGCGCCAGGACAUGGGGAAUGAACGCGACCUCCCCUGGCCCCAGACCAGUGCAGACCAUGGCCAAUCCAGGAGGACACGCUGGGCCUGGGCCCCGCCUGCUGCUGGGUGCCUUUGCAACCCGGGGCCGGGCACUAGCUCGGCUCCGCACCCAUCCUCUGGGGCCCCCUCGGCUGUGAGGAGCCCUGCAACGUCAGGCUGCCUGGUCACCCUGGUCACCGCCCCCGGGGAUGUGCACAGGGAAGGAACGGGCACACCGAGAAGGGACUCUGCGGUCUGAGCCGGCAGUCCCUCUCCCUGGGAGCGACGUCACCAACAGCCCAGGACACGUGACCGAAAACAGUGGUCCGAGAGCUCCAGAACGCACCGGGCAGACCUGGAGACAGGAUGGCGGCAGCGGCGCUGGGAUCCUGAGGUGGAGCCGCGGGGUCUCCCAGGAGGCGGCGGGCCUGGGCGAGAUGGACGUGCAUUUUCCAUGAACUUUUCGAAGACACUUCAAAGCUGAAUUACAUAAAGCUCUCCUACAUUAGGGGCCUGCAUUGUGCCACAGUGGGUCAAGCCACUGCCUGCGCCCCCAGCAUCCCACUGAGUGUCCGUUUGAGUCCCAGGAAGGCCAGGAUGCCGUCUGCGGGCAGAGGGAGGCCGGCCGGGCUCAGGGUCUCCGCCCGGUGAGGGGAGCGAGGGGCCAGCAUCAGCCCACACCAGCCACUCCUGCGCUCCCUGGUGCCCAGGUACGGCAAGAAAGGGGUGACAGCCGAGGGCCCUGUGAUAAAUGCCAAGCUGCCGAAAGCUCCUGACACUGCCCGGCUGCCGACAAAAGCCGCCAUUACUGCCGAGGCCACCAGGAAGGUCAACACGCCCACCCGAAGCCGACAACCAGGCUGCUCUGACGGCUACAGCAGCGGCUCGUGGGGAGAGACCCCACCCUUCUCUGUGACGUGGCUCCUGUGUAUUCAGACCUCGAAACCUCUCAGCUCCAACUGUAGGGGGCAUCUAGGGAGGGCUCACGGUGGUCUCUGGAUGGGAAACUUAGACCCCCUCUUCUAUCCAGGUCAUCUUCCUAAAAACCUCCAUUCUCUCCAUCACUCACACCCAGGUUCUCUUCUCCACUUCCUGAGGUCACACACACCAGACUCCACCACAGGAGAAACUGCCCAACAUCUCAGACCUGCAGCACCUGCCAGACCAUCACCCCAACUCUAGCACCAGCGCACCCCUCUCCCCACCCCACUCCCCAGGCCCGCGAAGGCUCCUGGGCGGGGGGACCGCAGCCUGACUUCACCCAGACGCCCCCCGCUAGGGGAACACGACACUCCUGGGGACGGUGCACACCCUCUCGGGGUGGGUGGAAGCUCCCACCAUUCCCAUACACUACUAAAUGAUAUUACCCCAAGAUUUAAUUACCGCCUUCCAUCCAGACAAUGGACCGGCGUUUACCUCUCUGAUGACUCGAAUGGCAGCUGCCUCUCCACAUCUCACGGCUGUCACACUCCCUGUCUUCCCCCUCUUCAGGAAAAGUAGCCCGGACUAAACUCUGCGCCCAGGACCACCGAGACGGGGGCAGACUCCCUCCUUCGGCUCUGGUAACAAUCACAUCUCUUCCCCGGAUGCUGCGAGCGCCCAGCCGGUUUGAACUUCUCUGUGGAAGCCUCUGCCUCCCCUACAGCGCCCUGCAGCCAUUGCCCCUCCUCUCGCUGUCCCGCACGGGCGUGCAGACACCACUACCCGCCCGCACUCUCUGCCCCCACCCCGGCUAUGUUCCCCCCUUUCAGCUUGGCGACUGGGUUUCUCCACAGUACAGUGAGGCUGCUCCGAAGCCACAGUGGAGUGGGCCCUACCAGGGGAGACUGACACCCCCACCGUGGCCAGGCUCGGAGGGCACCCCCGGGCGACACUGUACUGCGGUGGAACGAGUGGCCUCCCCCUCGUACAAGUCGACCCCACAGGACCCCCCUCUCUCCGGUGACGCGCUCACGAGGGGCGUCCACGAGGUGACUGCCGCGAGCAGUGUCCCCCGUACCUCCUCCUGUCCUCGUAGCCCUGGUCUCCUGCCUCCGCCCUGCAGGAACGCACGACCCCCGUAGCUCAAGCCGUCUCAUCUCCAGUGUAGACGCACCUCCCCCCAAGUCCUGGCUCCGGGGCUACACCCGCAUCAGCAGGAAGGAGCCACUCAGUAUCCACACUCAGGAGUGACGGCACGGGGACACAGCCGUUCUAGAUCGCUGCCCAGGAGAUGAGCAUUGGAAUAUUCCCCACCCCACCCCCCACGGCCACCCCAAAGCCCGGUUCCAGGAGUUCCCCUCUGCCCCCUACCCUAGCCCUCCUAAAAUGUAAAAAGGCCCGGCCCCUGGGCCGGGGUCUCUGCCCCGUGUUCCAUCACCCGCACACGGGCAGCUGGCCACCCACCUCUGCCGAUUUAUUUUCUCCGAGUAAAUUCAGCCUGGCUGUAUAUUCGUGCACAGGGGCGUGCGAGGGAGGGCAGAGCCCGAAGCCGACGCAGGCAGGACCUUGGAGGCCUCCAUUCGGCCACAGCCUGGGGGGCUCCCCUGUGGCCCCCAGAACUGAGAGACCAGAACCUUCCCUCAUCCCACCUGCGCGGUCUCCACACAGCGGUCCAGCGACCUGAGCCGAGACAGGAACUGGAGGGACCCGGAACCAUCGGAGUGGGGAGCCCGCGCAGGGGACGGCGCGGGGCCGGGCAGCCAGGGAGAGGGCACUCGGAGCGAGCCGGCCUGCGGCACAGCGGUCUCCCUCCAGGCUGACGACCGCGGCAUCUUUUGCCUCGUGCCCACAAUACUGUCUUGGCACAGAAUUAAAUUUUAAAAACCAAGUCUACAUUUUCACUCCCAGUGUUCAGAUUCAGCAUGGGGGCUGGCAGUGUGGCCCAACGGGCUGCACCACUGCCCACAACACCAGCAUCCCCUAUCAGCACCAGAGACAGCAGCGAACAAUGGCCCAAGCACCUGGGCCCCUGGCUUCAGCCUGGCCCAGCCAGGGGAGAGAGCCAGUGGGUGGAAGAUCUGUCUCUGUAACCCUG
Molecule: long non-coding RNA, 4031 nt
Organism: Lepus europaeus (European hare)
Lineage: Eukaryota; Metazoa; Chordata; Mammalia; Lagomorpha; Leporidae
Exons: 5
Source: RefSeq, a predicted model, not a curated record